This 57-nucleotide transfer RNA is filed under the name Ovis aries (sheep). It matches the Rfam family "tRNA", at positions 8 to 63 of the family's 71-position model. From Rfam's summary of the family: Transfer RNA (tRNA) molecules are approximately 80 nucleotides in length. Their secondary structure includes four short double-helical elements and three loops (D, anti-codon, and T loops). Further hydrogen bonds mediate the characteristic L-shaped molecular structure. tRNAs have two regions of fundamental functional importance: the anti-codon, which is responsible for specific mRNA codon recognition, and the 3' end, to which the tRNAs corresponding amino acid is attached (by aminoacyl-tRNA synthetases). tRNAs cope with the degeneracy of the genetic code in two manners: having more than one tRNA (with a specific anti-codon) for a particular amino acid; and 'wobble' base-pairing, i.e. permitting non-standard base-pairing at the 3rd anti-codon position. The record is from Rfam by way of RNAcentral. Lineage: Eukaryota; Metazoa; Chordata; Mammalia; Artiodactyla; Bovidae.
UGGCUAAGACGGUAAAGCGUCUGCCUGCAACACAGGAGACCCAGGUUCGAUUCCUGG